AUUGAACGCUGGCGGCAGGCCUAACACAUGCAAGUCGAGCGGAUGAAGGGAGCUUGCUCCUGGAUUCAGCAGCGGACGGGUGAGUAAUGCCUAGGAAUCUGCCUGGUAGUGGGGGAUAACGUCCGGAAACGGGCGCUAAUACCGCAUACGUCCUGAGGGAGAAAGUGGGGGAUCUUCGGACCUCACGCUAUCAGAUGAGCCUAGGUCGGAUUAGCUAGUUGGUGGGGUAAAGGCCUACCAAGGCGACGAUCCGUAACUGGUCUGAGAGGAUGAUCAGUCACACUGGAACUGAGACACGGUCCAGACUCCUACGGGAGGCAGCAGUGGGGAAUAUUGGACAAUGGGCGAAAGCCUGAUCCAGCCAUGCCGCGUGUGUGAAGAAGGUCUUCGGAUUGUAAAGCACUUUAAGUUGGGAGGAAGGGCAGUAAGUUAAGACCUUGCUGUUUUGACGUUACCAACAGAAUAAGCACCGGCGAAAUUCGU
This 483-nucleotide ribosomal RNA is filed under the name uncultured bacterium. Its description in RNAcentral is "partial 16S ribosomal RNA". It matches the Rfam family "Bacterial small subunit ribosomal RNA", at positions 30 to 506 of the family's 1533-position model. The record is from RNAcentral.